AGUGUCCCUCCGCAGCUUCUGCUCCUUUCCUGCCUCCAGGUGUCCACCCUACUGAGGCAGAAAUUGGUACUAGGAGUGGAGGCAUUGUGACAAACCUGAACGUGUGUUUUAGGGAGGAUCAUGGUCUCAUUUGAACUUUGGGUUCUCUGAGCUCUGCGGUCUGUCCUCUAGGAUCUCGGAAGAGAAGCCUGUGGAGAGCAUUGCAGAUGACAAAGGCCUGGCUUGUGAAGUUCAGAGGGGAAUGAAGAUCUAGCGUUGCUUGUAUGUGAUGUUUUGAAUUCAGAUAUGUGGUUCCAGUCAGCCAGAAGAGGUGGCUGUGGUUAACACCAGAUCAGAAUGACUAAGAAGGGCCAGAGUGCCCAGAAGUGAUCCACACUCCAACCAGCACACUGCGUACAUGACAUCUCUUUCCUGAACCUGGGUACGGUGGCCAGACUAUUGUGGUUGGCACCCGCACGUCUGUUGAAGCUACUUGCAGAGUUUUUAGUACCUCUGGACACAAUGAGGGAACGUUGGUAGACCCCAGAGAACUUUUUGGGACCUACCAUAUAGUGCUGGAAACACAGAGUAACCAUGGUAACCAGGUGGCCCCCUGGCUUCAGCAGGUCAGCCAGUCUGCGCAGGGCUGCCCGGUAGGUUUCCACAUCAAGACAG
This is a long non-coding RNA of Microtus oregoni (creeping vole), 654 nucleotides long. RefSeq lists it as uncharacterized. NCBI's taxonomy places the organism in Eukaryota, Metazoa, Chordata, Mammalia, Rodentia, Cricetidae. The transcript has 3 exons. The record is from RefSeq and is a predicted model, not a curated record.